UUAUUUUUCAACACUUUCAUAGAAUUUUUGUUGGUCAGAUUUCAACUUUCAAGUUUUUCUCGUUUUCAUGUCUCUUCUAUCACUCUAAAAAAAAAUUGUCAAUCUCGUUGAAAAAUCGAUUAAGAAGGAGAAAAGAAGGGAUAAAGAUGGGUGACAAAGUUAGAAGAAAUUGAAGAAAUCUAAGGUGAUGACAAUUUUGUUGGUGGUUUGUAAAGUUGAUGGUGGUAAUUAAUUGAUGAUUUGAGUUUGGCUAUCAAUGGAGGUUUUGAGAUUGAAUAUAGAAGAAAAUGAAGAAGGAAAAAGUUUAAAUUUAACAAAAAAAGAAAAAAGUAGGAAAAAUAAUAAAUUUAUUGUAUUUUUUGCGUGGUACUGAGGUGGCGUGUGCGUGUGGAACGUCCCCACCUUAUGAGAGUGGUAUAUCUAUUUUAG
Molecule: long non-coding RNA, 429 nt
Filed under: Capsicum annuum
Lineage: Eukaryota; Viridiplantae; Streptophyta; Magnoliopsida; Solanales; Solanaceae
Description: long non-coding RNA (CANN_LNC008913)
Source: RNAcentral